RNAcentral lists this non-coding RNA (952 nucleotides) under Protomyctophum arcticum (Arctic telescope). Its description in RNAcentral is "12S rRNA". It matches the Rfam family "Bacterial small subunit ribosomal RNA". The record is from RNAcentral. Lineage: Eukaryota; Metazoa; Chordata; Actinopteri; Myctophiformes; Myctophidae.
CAAAAGUCUGGUCCUGACUUUACUGUCCGCCCCCGCCAAGUUUAUACAUGCAAGUAUCCGCACCCCAGUGAGAAUGCCCCUAAACCCCCACCCGGAAAUGAGGAGCAGGCAUCAGGCACACCCCUUCGUAGCCCAUGACGCCUUGCACAGCCACGCCCCCACGGGAACUCAGCAGUGAUAAAUUUUAGGCAAUAAGUGCAACCUUGACCUAUCUAUGGCUAAGAGGGCCGGUAAAUCUCGUGCCAGCCACCGCGGUCAUACGAGUGGCCCAAGUGGACAGCCAACGGCGUAAAGCGUGGUUAAGGACCCCCCCCCCGAUUAAAGCAGAACCCCCUCAAGGCCGUCAUACGCAUCCGACAGGGUGAAGCCCCACCUCGAAAGUGACUUUAACUCACCUGACCCCACGAAAACUGAGAAACAAACUGGGAUUAGAUACCCCACUAUGCUCAGCCGUAAACACUGAUAGAAACCCUACGACACCUAUCCGCCUGGGGACUACAAGCACUAGCUUCAAACCCAAAGGACUUGGCGGUGCUUUAGACCCACCUAGAGGAGCCUGUCCUAGAACCGAUAACCCCCGUUCAACCUCACCACUUCUUGCCUAAUCCGUCUAUAUACCUCCGUCGUCAGCUUACCCUGUGAAGGACUCAUAGUAAGCUUAACUGGCACAGCCCAAAACGUCAGGUCGAGGUGUAGCAUACGAAGUGUGCAAGAGAUAGGCUACAUUUUCUGAUUCAGAAUACUACGAAAGAGGAAAUGAAAAACCCUCCGAAGGCGGAUUUAGCAGUAAGCAAGGAAUAGAGCGCCCCGCUGAAACUGGCCCUGAAGCGCGUACACACCGCCCGUCACUCUCCCCAAACCCAACCAACCCCUCACUAACAUAUAUCACCCCCUGGAUAAAGGGGAGGCAAGUCGUAACAUGGUAGGAGUACCGGAAGGUGCCCCUGGCUAA